UACGGAGGGUGCGAGCGUUGUCCGGAAUCACUGGGCGUAAAGGGUGCGUAGGCGGGUCUUUUAAGUCAGGGGUGAAAUCCUGGAGCUCAACUCCAGAACUGCCUUUGAUACUGAGGAUCUUGAGUUCGGGAGAGGUGAGUGGAACUGCGAGUGUAGAGGUGAAAUUCGUAGAUAUUCGCAAGAACACCAGUGGCGAAGGCGGCUCACUGGCCCGAUACUGACGCUGAGGCACGAAAGCGUGGGGAGCAAACAGGG
Molecule: ribosomal RNA, 255 nt
Filed under: uncultured bacterium
Lineage: Bacteria
Description: partial 16S ribosomal RNA
Rfam family: Bacterial small subunit ribosomal RNA
Source: RNAcentral